Molecule: ribosomal RNA, 492 nt
Filed under: uncultured bacterium
Lineage: Bacteria
Description: partial 16S ribosomal RNA
Rfam family: Bacterial small subunit ribosomal RNA
Source: RNAcentral
AGUGAACGCUGGCGGUAGGCCUAACACAUGCAAGUCGAACGGCAGCACAGUAAGAGCUUGCUCUUACGGGUGGAGAGUGGCGGACGGGUGAGGAAUACAUCGGAAUCUACUUUUUCGUGGGGGAUAACGUAGGGAAACUUACGCUAAUACCGCAUACGACCUACGGGUGAAAGCAGGGGAUCUUCGGACCUUGCGCGAUUGAAUGAGCCGAUGUCGGAUUAGCUAGUUGGCGGGGUAAAGGCCCACCAAGGCGACGAUCCGUAGCUGGUCUGAGAGGAUGAUCGGCCCCACUGGAACUGAGACACGGUCCAGCCUCCUACGGGAGGCACCAGUGGGGACUAUUGGACAAUGGGCGCAAGCCUGCUCCAGCCAUACCGCGUGGGUGAAGAAGGCCUUCGGGUUGUAAAGCCCUUUUGUUGGGAAAGAAAAGCAGCAGGUUAAUACCCCGCUGUUCUGACGGUACCCAAAGAAUAAGCACCGGCUAACUUCGUG